Molecule: long non-coding RNA, 3602 nt
Filed under: Brassica napus (rape)
Lineage: Eukaryota; Viridiplantae; Streptophyta; Magnoliopsida; Brassicales; Brassicaceae
Description: long non-coding RNA (BNAP_LNC021109)
Source: RNAcentral
UACCAUUCUUCGAUAUUAUUACAAUCUCUUCCUCUUUUAUUAGAUCGCAAUACAUCACUACAGCCUAAACAUGGCACAUAGUAAUCGCGAUCCAACCACCUCUCGCCACGUGGCGGUAAUUGGAGCCGGAGCCGCCGGGCUCGUGACUGCUCGUGAGCUACGUCGUGAAGGCCACUCAGUGGUCGUGUUAGAGCGCGGGAGCCAGAUUGGUGGCGUGUGGACUUACACCUCUCAAGUGGAACCUGACCCGCUAAGCCUCGACCCAACCCGACCCGUAGUCCACUCGAGCGUUUACAAAUCCCUACGCACCAACAUCCCCCGAGAGUGCAUGGGUUUCACCGACUUCCCUUUUGCGGCCCGACCACACGACGGGUCAAGGGAUCCGAGAAGACAUCCGGGUCACAGUGAGGUUCUUGCUUACCUGCGAGACUUUGCUAAGGAAUUCGAUGUACAGGAGAUGAUAAGGUUCGAGACGGAGGUUGUUAGGGCGGAACCGGCGGCGGAUGAGGAGAAUAGAGGGAAGUGGAGGGUGGAGUCUAGACGCUCCGAUGGUGCUGCCGAUGAGAUAUACGACGCCGUCGUUGUUUGUAACGGACACUAUACAGAGCCACGUCAUGCUCAUAUCGCUGGUAAAUAACCAAACAACUCGUGUCCUGAGUUGAGUUUUUCACUUGUUUUUUUUGUUCUUUAUUUUAUUUGCUUAGUAUCUGUAUACAACAUCGAAAAUUAUAAUAGCCUUUUGAUCUGUUAAUAAUUAAAAAAAACUUUUUUCGAAUUACGUAUUUGUUACGAAAAAAAAAAACAGUAAGUAAAGAGAAUUAUGUUUGAAAACUAAUGUAUAAAUUUAAUUCUUAUUAAAAAAUGUUUACGUCAAUAUAAGCAUAGGGCCGGGACUUCGGAUAUUCGGUUCGGGUUCGGAUAAGAUCCGAUCGGGUCCGGGUUUUUCGGAUAAAUGAAUUCUAUACCCAAUGGGUACUUAGUAAAUUUCGGUUCGGGUUUCGGAUCGGGUACUACCGGUUUCGGGUCGGUUCCGGGUACCCGUUUCUUAUGUGAAUUAUAUAAAUAUUUACAAAAUAAAAUAAUUAUAUACCAGUUUUUUAUUUAUUUAUUUUAUUUUUUUAAAAAAAGUUAAUAGAAAUCGUAUAUAUAUUAGUAAUAUGUAUUAAAUACAACGAAGUUGAACUAGUCUAGUGGUAUUGCAGUUGUUGCUUUGCCUAUCCAACCCGGGUUCAACCCUCGAAAGAUACAAAUCUAUGUUUUUUAAGCAUAGAAUUCGGGUUAAACGGGUACCCGUUUAUAACCUGAGGGGUAGAUGAAACUUUGGAAAGUUGAAGAAAGUUUGAUGUGAUCAGUGGUCGUGGGUUUCAGUGUUUUGUCCAAAAAGACGAAAGUGUCCAUACAGGAAGAUAAAAGAGAGACGUCGCUUCCAUUUUUUUUUUCAAACUACUUUGGUAAUUGAUUUGUCUGCAACUUGAUGGAUAUUUUUCAUUCUUGGCGUCUAUCAUUUUCAAAGAACAAUAACGUAGACGAUUCAUAUUUGCCGGCUCUUUGUAGCUUUACUAAUUUUAUAAUAAUAUCAUGUACGAGAAAAGAAAAAAAGGGUUUGUAACCUAAUUGAAUUUGUAGAUAAUGUAAGAAGAAGCUGCUUCUCCAUUUUCCCGACGAAAUAAGUCGAUCUCUUGCUUGAAAGGGGGAGAUUAGAUGGAUGUAUUCGAGAAUGAUGUGAUAAUCAUAUAGAUUUUAAGAAAUCAUUGACGUUGAUACUGCAUAAAACCUCAAAUUAUUCCUUCUAUUAAUUAGUAUAUAUAUAUAUAUAUAUAUAUAUAUUCUUGUUUAUUUAUAUCUAAUCGGGUAUUUUUAAAAAUAUCUAAUCGAACUUUCAAAUGAUCAUCAGAAUUUAGAAAAAAAUUAAACUUCGUACUAAGAAAAUAAGAACCUGGAUUUUCUUAAUUUGUAAUCAUACUUUUACAGGAAACAUGUUACGAGAGAACAAAGAACUAUAGUUUCCAAGAGAAUUAAACAUUGAUCGGGUACACUAGCCUGAAAAUAUUGUGAAUAAAAACAGUAGGUCCCAUCAGCCAACUGCAAACAAAAUUAACUCUUCUAAAUCAUUUAUAAAUAUUUAAAAAUUAUUUAUUAAAUUUUAUAAACCUAAUCCCACUCACUAAACUAUAAACCCAUAAACAAUAAUCACUAAACUGUAAAUACAAAUGUUAGAAUAUUUUUGAUCGAAUAUAUUUUGAAAAGCGCUGGCUAUUCAAUGUAUUCCAUUUCGUGCAAUUUUUCUAAUAUGAUGUGCAUAGUGGUAUGGAUAUUUUAUAAUGAAUAGUUAUCCACAUAACUAUUACAAUAGCAGGUAAUUUAUUCGAAAGAUAUACUUCAUUAUUAAUAGAAAAGCUUACCUUUUUGAAAUGCUAUGUUGAAUAGUAAACAUGAUCCUGGACAUUGUUAGUUGUUGGAUGCAUUAGUCUGCACGCACUUCAAAAGAAGUAGCCAAAAAGGUUAUUUAAACUGAAUCUUUAAAGAUAAGUAUAACUUCUUUAGUUAUAAAAUUUAAGCAUUGCGGAAGCAAAUUUGCAUUAUAUCUCUUAUGGAAAUACCAUAAGAUGUAAUUGCAGGGUUUUCUGCUUGAAGUAUUAAUUCUUAGUUACUGCAUGUUGGAUCGCCUAUCAUGAUUAUGUGCGCUGUUCACAAUAUCAGCCGUCUGUAGAUGAAUAGAUAAGAGUAUUAGUCAUCAUUUACAAUAGUCUGCCUACAAAUAAAAUUAUGAUAAAAGGAGAGUAUAAUAAUAAGCUAUAUCCAAUUGUAUCUGCAACACAAUUAAGUUUUUUUCAAACACCAAUUCAAAAUGAAUACAAUGUCAUAUUGUCAUGUCAUCUAUAACACACCAGAUAUAGAAGCAGAGAGAAUAAACAAUGAAAUUCUUUUGAUCAAUGAUUGAGAACUUAUGUUUUAACUAUUUUAAACUAAAGCAGUUAUAAUUCGUAAUCCAAUCCAGUUUAGCCAGUGAUAUAAACGAAAACGCUAGAUUCUCUUAUAGACAUGCAUGGUUGAAGCAAUGCUACCUACUUAAUUGAAUUAAAUAUUUGUUUUGCUAAAAGAUAAACUGAAUUUAAUAUUCACACAAGAUAUUAUGUAAGAAUUGUCUACACUGAACUGACACGUCAUCAUUUAAGGUACAUAUUUUCCUCCUUUAUAAAUUACUCAUCGUUAUACUUAAAACACGUACCAUUCUUCGAUAUUAUUACAAUCUCUUCCUCUUUUAUUAGAUCGCAAUACAUCACUACAGCCUAAACAUGGCACAUAGUAAUCGCGAUCCAACCACCUCUCGCCACGUGGCGGUAAUUGGAGCCGGAGCCGCCGGGCUCGUGACUGCUCGUGAGCUACGUCGUGAAGGCCACUCAGUGGUCGUGUUAGAGCGCGGGAGCCAGAUUGGUGGCGUGUGGACUUACACCUCUCAAGUGGAACCUGACCCGCUAAGCCUCGACCCAACCCGACCCGUAGUCCACUCGAGCGUUUACAAAUCCCUACGCACCAACAUCCCCCGAGAGUGCAUGGGUUUCACCGACUUCCCUUUUGCGGCCCGACCACACGACGGGUCA